This 497-nucleotide ribosomal RNA is filed under the name uncultured bacterium. RNAcentral describes it as "partial 16S ribosomal RNA". It matches the Rfam family "Bacterial small subunit ribosomal RNA", at positions 28 to 507 of the family's 1533-position model. The record is from RNAcentral.
GAUGAACGCUGGCGGCGUGCCUAAUACAUGCAAGUCGAGCGAACAGACGCGGAGCUUGCUCCUCUGACGUUAGCGGCGGACGGGUGAGUAACACGUGGAUACCCUCCCUGUCAGACGGGGAUAACUUCGGAAAACCGGAGCUAAUCCCGGAUGAUAUCUUGCACCGCAUGGUUCGAUAGUAAAAUACGGUUUUGGUGUCACUUAUAGAUGGGUCCCCGCCGCAUUAGCUGGUUGGUGAGGUAAAGGCUUACCAAGGGAACGAUGCGUAGCCGACGUGAGAGGGUGAUCGGCCACACGGGAACUGAGCCACGGUCCAGAGUCCUACGGGAGGCAGCAGUAGGGAAUGGUCCGCAAUGGUCGAAAGCCUUACGGAGCAGCGCCGCGUGAGUGAUGAAGGUCUUGGGAUCGGAAAGCUGUGUUAUUAGGGAAGAACAAAUGUGUAAGGAACUAAGCACGUCUUGACGGUACCUAAUCAGAAAGCCACGGCUAACUACGUG